UACGUAGGUGGCAAGCGUUGUCCGGAAUUACUGGGUGUAAAGGGCGUGUAGACGGGAAUGUAAGUCAGAUGUGAAAUACUUGGGCUCAACUCAAGUGCUGCAUCUGACACUAUGUUUCUUGAGUGCUGGAGAGGAUAGUGGAAUUCCUAGUGUAGCGGUGAAAUGCGUAGAUAUUAGGAGGAACACCAGUGGCGAAGGCGACUAUCUGGACAGUAACUGACGUUGAGGCGCGAAAGCGUGGGGAGCAAACAGGAUUAGAUACCCUGGUAGUCCACGCUGUAAACGAUGGAUACUAGGUGUAGGAGGUAUCGACCCCUUCUGUGCCGGAGUUAACACAAUAAGUAUCCCACCUGGGGAGUACGGCCGCAAGGUUGAA
RNAcentral lists this ribosomal RNA (376 nucleotides) under uncultured bacterium. RNAcentral's name for it is "bacterial SSU rRNA". It matches the Rfam family "Bacterial small subunit ribosomal RNA", at positions 524 to 898 of the family's 1533-position model. The record is from RNAcentral.